GUCUACGGCCAUACUGUCCGAUCCCAUCUGAUCUCGGAAGCUAAGCAGGGUCGGGCCUGGUUAGUACUUGGAUGGGAGACCACCUAGGAAGACCAGGUGCUGUAGUCG
This 108-nucleotide ribosomal RNA is filed under the name Pteropus alecto (black flying fox). Lineage: Eukaryota; Metazoa; Chordata; Mammalia; Chiroptera; Pteropodidae. The record is from RNAcentral.